UCAAAUUUCCUUCCCCCUGAAGCUGGAUGUACAAACUGAUUUUGCUGUUCACACAGUACAGGCUAUAACGUUAAAAAGCGAACUUGAAUUGGAGACGUAUUUUUAAAAAUUGUGGUGCUUUAUAUUUGACAGUUAAACUCAACUUCAAAACGCGGCUCUUCAAUUCACGUUGGGGACGCCAAACAGGAAUUCGCGAGACGUUUUGGCAAGGCUGGAGGACUCGAAGCAUUGCAAGGCUGCUGCGCAGAAGGGGACGCUCACCGAGGAAGAGGCUUUUAUAAAAGACGUCACAGACAGACAGACAUCCUUGCCUUGGGAAACAUCCUAGGGGGAAAAAAAAAACCUAAUUGGUAGAGUGCCAUUUAACCCAAACUCUCCCACCAAUAUCAGUAUCUCGAAAUUGUGGGAAUAUAAAUUCUCAUGAGGGAAUAUGUGCAAGCGAGGCAAACACCAUUAUUCCAGGCUCUCCCAUCAGCCUCUGUGUUUCUAGACAGGAAAUGUGAGGGGAGGGGUUCUGCUGGUGGAUUCUGGGAUGGUGACACCUGCAGCGCCACUUUGAAAGACAUGCUGUUUCUGUUCACCCUAGAGUCUGUGGAUGUUUUAUGGAGGUGGAGAAAGGAACCAGGCCCCUUACCUGUGCAAGGCCAGAGACUCUGGUUGAGCCAGGCCUCGGUUGGCAGAUUGGUAAUGAGCGGCUGUAUGUGGUGAGGCUCAGGCACAGUACCGGCCCCCUGGGGGAAAUGUGGUACAGGAUAAUGAGAGGGCUGAAACUCUUAAUGUGGUGGUGAUUCAUGGAGACCAUCCGUCCGGAUUACCUUUCUCACUGUGUGCACAAUGUGGACAAGGAUUCCCAGGGUUAGGAACAACACCACCAGAUUGGCCCAGCAAGCCCUUGGGGAGAUGGGCCUUUCCCAGGGUACAAAAACUGUGGUGCACGUUGGGUUAAUAUGAACCGUAAUACCUGUUUGUUCCAAAAUGCAGUUGCAGAAAGGUGUGGAACAUAAACUGCAAAAGGCCUCAUCACAUUUUGAGUCCUCAGUGCCAAUUAUAUUUACUAUUAAAUACUAAUAAGUUGAUAACCACUGAAGGUGUCAUGUGCAAAAUUCAACAAAUCAUAUCCAUCCAUCCACCUAUCUAAUGUAUCGUUCUAUCUAUUGUUCUAUCAUUCUGCUGUUCUAUCUACAAUUCUGUCUUUCAUUCUGUCUGUCUGUAUGGCUUCUAAAUCUUUAAACUUCAGCGCUUUUAAAACAUUUUUCUGGAUGUGUCAAACCAACAUUUAAAGUUUAUCGUUGGUUUUCUGCUUAAAAUUACAGUUCUAUGAAUUUAUUUCAAUUAAAGUUCAUUUUAAGUCUUAAUGCUUCCUUAAAA
This is a long non-coding RNA of Carassius gibelio (silver crucian carp), 1368 nucleotides long. RefSeq lists it as uncharacterized. Lineage: Eukaryota; Metazoa; Chordata; Actinopteri; Cypriniformes; Cyprinidae. The transcript is spliced from 3 exons. The record is from RefSeq and is a predicted model, not a curated record.